RNAcentral lists this ribosomal RNA (445 nucleotides) under uncultured bacterium. RNAcentral describes it as "bacterial SSU rRNA". It matches the Rfam family "Bacterial small subunit ribosomal RNA", at positions 330 to 792 of the family's 1533-position model. The record is from RNAcentral.
CCCAGACUCCUACGGGAGGCAGCAGUAGGGAAUCUUUCACAAUGGGCGAAAGCCUGAUGGAGCAACGCCGCGUGCAGGAUGAAGGCCUUCGGGUUGUAAACUGCUUUUAUAAGCGAGAAAUAUGAUGGUAACUUAUGAAUAAGGAUCGGCUAACUACGUGCCGGCAGCCGCGGUCAUACGUAGGAUCCGAGCAUUAUCCGGAGUGACUGGGUGUAAAGGGAGCGUAGGCGGACUUUUAAGUGAGAUGUGAAAUACUCGGGCUCAACUUGAGCGCCGCAUUUCAAACUGGAAGUCUAGAGUGCAGGAGAGGAGAAUGGAAUUCCUAGUGUAGCGGUGAAAUGCGUAGAGAUUAGGAAGAACACCAGUGGCGAAGGCGAUUCUCUGGACUGUAACUGACGCUGAGGCUCGAAAGCGUGGGGAGCAAACAGGAUUAGAUACCCCAGUA